GGCGAACGCUGGCGGCGUGCUUAACACAUGCAAGUCGAACGGAAAGGCCCUGCUUUUGUGGGGUGCUCGAGUGGCGAACGGGUGAGUAACACGUGAGUAACCUGCCCUUGACUUUGGGAUAACUUCAGGAAACUGGGGCUAAUACCGGAUAGGAGCUCCUGCUGCAUGGUGGGGGUUGGAAAGUUUCGGCGGUUGGGGAUGGACUCGCGGCUUAUCAGCUUGUUGGUGGGGUAGUGGCUUACCAAGGCUUUGACGGGUAGCCGGCCUGAGAGGGUGACCGGCCACAUUGGGACUGGGAUACGGCCCAGACUCUUCCGGGGGGCAGCAGUGGGGAAUAUUGCCCAAUGGGCGGAAGCCUGAUGCAGAAACGCCGGGGGGGGGAUGACGGCCUUCGGGUUGUAAACCGCUUUCGCCUGUGACGAAGCGUGAGUGACGGUAAUGGGUAAAGAAGCACCGGCUACUACGUG
This 467-nucleotide ribosomal RNA is filed under the name uncultured bacterium. RNAcentral's name for it is "partial 16S ribosomal RNA". It matches the Rfam family "Bacterial small subunit ribosomal RNA", at positions 28 to 507 of the family's 1533-position model. The record is from RNAcentral.